GAUGAACGCUAGCUACAGGCUUAACACAUGCAAGUCGCGGGGCAGCAUGGGGGUUGCUUGCAAUCCCCGAUGGCGACCGGCGCACUGGUGAGUAACGCGUAUCCAACCUGCCCUUCACCACGGGAUAACCCGGCGAAAGUCGGACUAAUACCGUAUGUUGUCCAUUGACGGCAUCCGAUUUGGACGAAAGGUUUGGCGGUGAAGGAUGGGGAUGCGUCCGAUUAGCUGGACGGCGGGGUGACGGCCCACCGUGGCGACGAUCGGUAGGGGUUCUGAGAGGAAGGUCCCCCACACUGGAACUGAGACACGGUCCAGACUCCUACGGGAGGCAGCAGUGAGGAAUAUUGGUCAAUGGGCGUAAGCCUGGACCAGCCAAGUAGCGUGCAGGAUGACGGCCCUAUGGGUUGUAAACUGCUUUUAUGCGGGGAUAAAGUGGCCCACGUGUGGGUUUUUGCAGGUACCGCAUGAAUAAGGACCGGCUAAUUCCGUG
Molecule: ribosomal RNA, 490 nt
Filed under: uncultured bacterium
Lineage: Bacteria
Description: partial 16S ribosomal RNA
Rfam family: Bacterial small subunit ribosomal RNA
Source: RNAcentral